CCCUUAGACGUUCUGGGCCGCACGCGCGCUACACUGACACAGGCAACGAGCUUUCCUUUACCGAAAGGUAUGGGUAAUCUUUUGAAACUGUGUCGUGCUGGGGAUAGAUCCUUGCAAUUUUUGAUCUUAAACGAGGAAUUCCUAGUAAGCGCGAGUCAUCAACUCGCGUUGAUUACGUCCCUGCCCUUUGCACACACCGCCCGUCGCUACUACCGAUUGAAUGGCUUAGUGAGGCCUCAGGAUCCGCGCUUAAUGUGUGGAGAAUUUGGACAAACUACGUCAUUUAGAGGAAGUAAAAGUCGUAACA
Molecule: ribosomal RNA, 307 nt
Filed under: uncultured eukaryote
Lineage: Eukaryota
Description: partial 18S ribosomal RNA
Rfam family: Eukaryotic small subunit ribosomal RNA
Source: RNAcentral